This 409-nucleotide ribosomal RNA is filed under the name uncultured bacterium. RNAcentral describes it as "bacterial SSU rRNA". It matches the Rfam family "Bacterial small subunit ribosomal RNA", at positions 975 to 1385 of the family's 1533-position model. The record is from RNAcentral.
CAAGGCUUGACAUAUAGAGGAAAAGUGCAGAAAUGCACUCCCCGCAAGGUCUCUAUACAGGUGGUGCAUGGUUGUCGUCAGCUCGUGUCGUGAGAUGUUGGGUUAAGUCCCGCAACGAGCGCAACCCUCGUCCUAUGUUGCCAGCACGUUAUGGUGGGAACUCAUGGGAUACUGCCGGGGUCAACUCGGAGGAAGGUGGGGAUGACGUCAAAUCAUCAUGCCCCUUAUGUCUUGGGCUUCACGCAUGCUACAAUGGCCGGUACAGAGGGCUGCAAUACCGCAAGGUGGAGCGAAUCCCAAAAAGCCGGUCUCAGUUCGGAUUGAGGUCUGCAACUCGACCUCAUGAAGUCGGAGUCGCUAGUAAUCGUAGAUCAGCAACGCUACGGUGAAUACGUUCCCGGGUCUUGUA